Molecule: ribosomal RNA, 506 nt
Filed under: uncultured bacterium
Lineage: Bacteria
Description: partial 16S ribosomal RNA
Rfam family: Bacterial small subunit ribosomal RNA
Source: RNAcentral
AGUGAACGCUGGCGGUAGGCCUAACACAUGCAAGUCGAACGGCAGCACAGGAGAGCUUGCUCUCUGGGUGGCGAGUGGCGGACGAGUGAGGAAUACAUCGGAAUCUACUCUGUCGUGGGGGAUAACGUAGGGAAACUUACGCUAAUACCGCACACGACCUACGGUUGAAAGCAGGGGACCUUCGGGCCUUGCGCGAUUGAAUGAGCCGAUGUCGGAUUAGCUAGUUGGCGGGGUAAAGGCCCACCAAGGCGACGAUCCGUAGCUGGUCUGAGAGGAUGAUAAGCCACACUGGAACGGAGACACGGUCCAGACUCCUGCGGGAGGCAGACGUGGGGAAUAUUGGACAAUGGGCGCAAGCCUGGUCCAGCCAUACCGCGUGGGUGAAGAAGUCCUUCGGGUUGUAAAGCCCUUUUGUUGGGAAAGAAAUCCAGCUGGCUAAUACCCGGUUGGGAUGACGGUACCCAAAGAAUAAGCACCGGCUAACUUCGUGCCAGCCGCCGCCGUAA